AUCGGCCGAUCGCCUUGAGUUGAUCAUGGCUCGAAUGAACGCUGGCGGCGUGCUUAACACAUGCAAGUCGUGCGCGAAGGUGGCUUCGGCCACCGGAGAGCGGCGAACGGGUGAGUAACACGUGGGUGAUCUACCUGGAAGCGGGGGAUAACCUGGGGAAACUCGGGCUAAUACCGCAUACGUUGUUUAGGUUACGGCCUGGACAAGAAAACCGGCCUCUGCUUGCAAGCUGGUGCUUCCAGAGGAGCCCGCGGCUGAUUAGCUAGUUGGUGGGGUAAUGGCCCACCAAGGCGACGAUCAGUAGCCGGCCUGAGAGGGUGAUCGGCCACACUGGGACUGAGACACGGCCCAGACUCCUACGGGAGGCAGCAGUGGGGAAUAUUGGACAAUGGGCGCAAGCCUGAUCCAGCAACGCCGCGUGGAGGACGAAGGUCUUCGGAUCGUAAAUUCCUGUCAGACGGGACGAAGGUGCCGGGGUAAAUAAUCCCGGUACUUGACGGUACUGUCAGAGGAAGCCCCGGCUAACUCCGUGCCAGCAGCCGCGGUAAUACGGAGGGGGCGAGCGUUAUUCGGAAUUAUUGGGCGUAAAGGGCGCGUAGGCGGCUUGGCAAGUCAAAGGUGAAAUCCCUCGGCUCAACUGAGGAACUGCCUUUGAAACUGCCUGGCUUGAGGCCGGGAGGGGGUAGCGGAAUUCCCAGUGUAGCGGUGAAAUGCGUAGAUAUUGGGAGGAACACCAGUGGCGAAGGCGGCUACCUGGACC
Molecule: ribosomal RNA, 760 nt
Filed under: uncultured bacterium
Lineage: Bacteria
Description: bacterial SSU rRNA
Rfam family: Bacterial small subunit ribosomal RNA
Source: RNAcentral